AGUGAACGCUGGCGGUAGGCCUAACACAUGCAAGUCGAACGGCAGCACAGUAAGAGCUUGCUCUUACGGGUGGCGAGUGGCGGACGGGUGAGGAAUACAUCGGAAUCUACUUUUUCGUGGGGGAUAACGUAGGGAAACUUACGCUAAUACCGCAUACGACCUACGGGUGAAAGCAGGGGAUCUUCGGACCUUGCGCGAUUGAAUGAGCCGAUGUCGGAUUAGCUAGUUGGCGGGGUAAAGGCCCACCAAGGCGACGAUCCGUAGCUGGUCUGAGAGGAUGAUCAGCCACACUGGAACUGAGACACGGUCCAGACUCCUACGGGAGGCAGCAGUGGGGAAUAUUGGACAAUGGGCGCAAGCCUGAUCCAGCCAUACCGCGUGGGUGAAGAAGGCCUUCGGGUUGUAAAGCACUUUUGUUGGGAAAGAAAAGCAGCAGGUUAAUACCCCGCUGUUCUGACGGUACCCAAAGGAUAAGCACCGGCUAACUUCGUG
This 492-nucleotide ribosomal RNA is filed under the name uncultured bacterium. RNAcentral's name for it is "partial 16S ribosomal RNA". It matches the Rfam family "Bacterial small subunit ribosomal RNA", at positions 29 to 507 of the family's 1533-position model. The record is from RNAcentral.